UUUCGAACAGUUAAAAGACAAACGUCAUUUUUACUUUUUUCUUUCCUUUUUUUUUUUUUUUUUUUAUCGAUUACUACACAAUUCUAAUUCCCUUAAAAAUUACUGAAUUUUUAAUAAUUCGAGAUAAUAUAUAAGUAUUAAUUUAUAGCGGAUGAGAUAUAUUUAUCAAUUUAAUUAAUUCUCAAUGCCAAUUAGUAAAAUGAUAAUCAAAAAAAAAAAAAGAAAUCCAUAAUCUAUAACUUUGACAAUUUUUCGAACACCAAAGUGUUCUUUUUUAAUUGCACGUUCCUUCUCGCGCGUUAGACUAAUGAAAAAUCUUAGAAAAAAAAAAAGAA
Long non-coding RNA from Vespa mandarinia (Asian giant hornet), 335 nucleotides. The record is from RefSeq and is a predicted model, not a curated record. Lineage: Eukaryota; Metazoa; Arthropoda; Insecta; Hymenoptera; Vespidae.